UACGAAGGGGGCUAGCGUUGUUCGGAAUUACUGGGCGUAAAGCGCGUGUAGGUGGCGAGGCAAGUCGGGUGUGAAAGCCCUGGGCUCAACCCAGGAAGUGCACUCGAUACUGCCUAGCUAGAGUCCCGGAGAGGUUGGUGGAACUCUCGGUGUAGAGGUGAAAUUCGUAGAUAUCGAGAAGAACACCGGUGGCGAAGGCGGCCAACUGGACGGUGACUGACACUGGGACGCGAAAGCGUGGGGAGCAAACAGGG
RNAcentral lists this ribosomal RNA (254 nucleotides) under uncultured bacterium. RNAcentral describes it as "partial 16S ribosomal RNA". It matches the Rfam family "Bacterial small subunit ribosomal RNA", at positions 524 to 777 of the family's 1533-position model. The record is from RNAcentral.